RNAcentral lists this ribosomal RNA (927 nucleotides) under Ramaria coulterae. RNAcentral's name for it is "eukaryotic LSU rRNA". It matches the Rfam family "Eukaryotic large subunit ribosomal RNA", at positions 37 to 938 of the family's 3401-position model. Lineage: Eukaryota; Fungi; Basidiomycota; Agaricomycetes; Gomphales; Gomphaceae. The record is from RNAcentral.
AGCAUAUCAAUAAGCGGAGGAAAAGAAACUAACGAGGAUUCCCCUAGUAACGGCGAGUGAAGCGGGAAGAGCUCAAAUUUGAAAUCUGGCGGCCUUGUGGCCGUCCGAGUUGUAGUCUGGAGAAGCGUUUUCCGCGUCGGACCGUGUACAAGUCCCUUGGAACAGGGCGUCGCAGAGGGUGAGAAUCCCGUCUUUGACACGGACUGCCGAUGCUUUGUGAUGCGCUCUCGAAGAGUCGAGUUGUUUGGGAAUGCAGCUCAAAUCGGGUGGUAAAUUCCAUCUAAAGCUAAAUAUUGGCAAAAGACCGAUAGCGAACAAGUACCGUGAGGGAAAGAUGAAAAGCACUUUGGAAAGAGAGUUAAACAGUACGUGAAAUUGUUGAAAGGGAAACGCUUGAAGUCAGUCGCGUCCCCUGGGACUCAGCCUUGCCUUUUCCGCUUGGUGUAUUUCCUGGGGUUUGACGGGCCAGCGUCGAUUUCGACCGUCGGAGAAAGGCUUUGGGAAUGUGGCACCCUUUGGGGUGUGUUAUAGCCCUCGGUCACAUGCGACGGUUGGGAUCGAGGAUCGCAGCACGCCUUUUUGGCCGGGGUUCGCCCACGUAACGUGCUUAGGAUGCUGGCGUAAUGGCUUUAAGCGACCCGUCUUGAAACACGGACCAAGGAGUCUAACAUGCCUGCGAGUGUUUGGGUGCAAAACCCGGACGCGAAAUGAAAGUGAAAGGUUGGGACCUCUGUCGCGGAGGGCACCGACGCCCGGACCAGACCUUUUUGUGACGGCUCCGAGGUGGAGCAUGCAUGUUGGGACCCGAAAGAUGGUGAACUAUGCCUGAGUAGGGUGAAGCCAGAGGAAACUCUGGUGGAGGCUCGUAGCGAUUCUGACGUGCAAAUCGAUCGUCGAACUUGGGUAUAGGGGCGAAAGACUAAUCGA